Molecule: long non-coding RNA, 3382 nt
Filed under: Lotus japonicus
Lineage: Eukaryota; Viridiplantae; Streptophyta; Magnoliopsida; Fabales; Fabaceae
Description: long non-coding RNA (LJAP_LNC000967)
Source: RNAcentral
UUGAUCUGUUCUGUCAUUGACUUUAUCUUUCAUAAAUUGCUCAAGCAAGUAGCCAUGAGCCCCAUGGAUCUCAACCCCAUCAAAACCUAUAAUUUGCAUCACAACAAGUACGUCAUAUAUGUUGGAAAACAAAAUCAAAUAAAGCAAUAAAACAACUAACAGUCUAGCUUUUGAAAUCACAUUAUAUCAUGAUUGAAGCAUAUUGAAUUUUAAUGACAUUUGUUAGAAUACAAGUGAAGUUACCAGCCUCAAUAGCAUUCCUUGCAGCGAGUCUGAAGUCAUUAACAACAUGAGGAAUUUCAUCCGUCCUCAGCCGCCUCGGUGUUGUGAAUUGCACUACAUCAACCCCAUUAGCCCGUACUUGCGGUUUGAGUGGCUUGUCCGUGGAAGAUAUGGGUGCUUGCCCGUUUGGCUGAUAAGCUAUUCAAAAUCAUACAGAAAAUAAUCAUACAUUGAGCUUGUAUAUUAACAUCAUGUGCAUAAAUGUGUACUAAUAAAAAAAUCAUCAUGUAUUUUCCCCUUUACAAUGAUCAAUAACAACAAGAAAGAAACCCUAUUCGGAAUUUGGUGCAUUAGGUCAGGAAAUAUAUGUAUACCUGAAUUUGAAACCCUUCCAACAUGCCAAAUCUGACAAAAGAAGAGAGCGCCUUUGGCAUGAACAGCAUCGACAAUAGGUUUCCAGGCUUGGACUUGCUCGUUUGUCCAAAUGCCGGGGGUGUCUGGAUAGCCUUGAGCAGUGUCGGAGACACCGGUGGCUUCGGCGAUGAGAAGACCUCCAUUGGAAGCUCUCUGAGAGUAAUAGAGAAUAGCAUGGGGUUGAGGAACGUUGUUGUAGGAUCUCUGUCUGGUGAGUGGAGCCAAAACAAUUCUGAAAUUACAGUUACAAAUGGAGAAUCAGACAAGUGUGGGGAGCAUGAAUGAAUACAGUAAGAAUAAAAUGUAUCUACCUGUGGGAGAGAUUGAAGUUACCCAUCUUGUAGGGAGUAAUAAGAGGGUUAUUGGGAUCCACAGGAAGAGGAAGAGUAGGAGAAGCCAUAGAUUCACAGUGGGUGCACUGUUUGUGUUGUUCCCUUGAAAAAACGAACCGAUCUAUCCUCGUAUAUAUGAUAAACUAGUAUGUAUACCCGUGCCGAUGCACGGGGGCAUAUUUCCGAGUAUAUAAUAAAUUACUUUUAAUAUAUAUAGUUAUUUAUUUUGUAUAAAUGAAAAAUAAAUAUAAAUAUAAUUUUUUAUUUGAUUAAUUUGUUUAUGAUAUAAUAAUAUAAUAAAUUGUAUAUUUUUGUUUUUUUUCUUUUAUUUUUGUUUUUCCGAUCUCCAAAUAAGUCUACAAAAUUUAUAACUUAUAAAAUUUGAUAGAAAAUAUGUAUUACAUAUUAAAUUACAUUUUUUUACACUAUAUCAUUGUGAUUUCCUAAACUCUAUAUAACUAAAUACGGAUGGGUAUUCAAAAUUUAAAUGAUGCAAUAAUAAUUCUCUUAUAUAAAAUACUAUAAAAAAGCAAGAACAUUUAAUUAAAAAUCGCAAUAGAUAUCUCUGGUGGAAAAACACAACGUUGUGAAGCAUACAAAAUUUUUGCAUUUAAAAUCCAAUCUAUCUAAUUGCACCACAAAGAUAAAUAAAAAAUACAAUAAAAAAAUUUCCAUAAUUGAUUUCUGGUGGGAGAAUUUUUUUCACGAAAUUAUUUCGUUCAUGACUCCAACAUUAAUAACGUGUGGAUCAUCUUUAUGAAUUCCAAACCAAACAAAAUGAUUCUCUGUAAGGUUAUUCGCUUUGAUGAAUUUUUUCCACCCCUUCUUCAAGGUGCACUCUGACUCUCUCCUUGGGUUUCACAGUAAAAUCUCCCAUUUUUCUGAUCUCGCAGAACCAAAUUGUAAUGCUUCUGUAUAUCUACUCCAUUAAAAUAUUUAAAAAGUCUAAAAAAAGUUUAAAAAUUAUAUUAAAACAUUUUCUAUUAGUUUCAACUUGAAGGUAUCUUCAUGUUAAAUAUUCCUCGUCGUAUCAGCUUUUUUUUUAUGUAACCUUAACAUCAACAAAUUUUGACUAUAUAUUUUCAAUCCUCGUGUGACAAAUUGUUCUCUCUCUCUUAAAAUACUUAAGAAAAAAAAAUAGGGUAGCAAAAUAAUCCUCUUUUUAGCAUAAAGCUUAUCUAGGGCUUUGUUUCAUGUUUUCUUGGUAUGACAUGUUUUCAAAAUUAGAACUAAUUUUGAAAACAGUUCUCAUUUUCAGUUCUUAAAAUUAAAAACCAAAACAAUUAAAAAAUGUUUUUAGUUUCAGUUUUUAGUUUUCAGAUAUAAGUUUUCUAAAUGUUGGAAAACAUGUCAUUCAACUUGUUUUCUUCAUCUGAAAACUGUUUUUAAAAAUGGUUUAUGAAAGUUGUUUUAAAAACUGAAAACAAAAAUUGCAACCAAACAUGCCCCUAGUACUGCAAAUCAGGUACUUAACUUUAGCCCAAUACUUCCCAUUAGCAUUCAGUGUCAUUAUCACACACAAAUCAUAGUUUUACAUGCGAUCUGCUUCCAUUAUUAAUUAAAAUUCAAGGAUCAUAACUCCUAGUACAAUGACCAACCAAAUUGCAAGAAAGGGAUGUGCAAGUGAAGAAUAGCUUAUUAAAUCAAGAGGUUCCACCCUUGUAUGCAACAGCAUUGGUUUCUUCAUUCAAGAAAUGGAUAGUCAGUGUAACCAAUAACCGGAUCAGAAGUGUAGAAAGUCUCCCGAUUAUACUUGUUGAGAGGAGCAUCAAGCGCGAAUCUCUUUGGUAAAUCUGGAUUAGCUAAGAACCAACGACCAUAAGCAAUAAGAUCUGCCCUGUUUUCAGCUAUAGCAUUGAUCCCUUCUUGUCGAAUAUAGCCUCCAGAAACUAUAAAAGUGCCCUUGAAGGCUUUUCUCAUUGGUACCAGGCUAUGAGAGCUUUCAACCUGUUCUGCAUUAUUUUUAAUUCUUGGUUCUACCAUGUGACAGUACAAAACACUGUAUUUAUUUAGCGCAUUAACCAUAUAAAGUGCCAACUCUUUGGGAUUUGAGUCAACACAUUCUCCAUGCUCUCCAAAAGGUGAUAAUCUAAUUCCAACUCUUUCUGCCCCUAUCUCAUUUGCAACAGCUUCAACAAUCUCUAAAGGAAAUCGACAGCGGUUCUCAAGGGAACCACCAUAUUCAUCAGUUCGGUCGUUCACUUUAUCUUUCAUAAAUGCAUCAAGCAGGUAGCCAUGAGCUCCAUGGAACUCAAUUCCAUCAAAACCUACAAUUUGCACCACAACAGAUUGAAGCAUGAUUGAAUGUUGGGGACAUUUGUUAAACAGUCUAGUUUCUAAAAACAUAUUGUAUCAUGAUUGAAACAUGUUGAAUGUUGGGGACAUUUGUUAUAAAGAUCAAUUAAGUUACCAGC